RNAcentral lists this ribosomal RNA (449 nucleotides) under uncultured bacterium. Its description in RNAcentral is "partial 16S ribosomal RNA". It matches the Rfam family "Bacterial small subunit ribosomal RNA", at positions 29 to 523 of the family's 1533-position model. The record is from RNAcentral.
AGCGAACGCUGGCGGCAGGCCUAACACAUGCAAGUCGAACGAAGUCUUCGGACUUAGUGGCGGACGGGUGAGUAACACGUGGGAACGUACCUUUAGGUUCGGAACAACUCAGGGAAACUUGAGCUAAUACCGGAUAAGCCCUUCGGUGGAAAGAUUUAUCGCCUUUAGAGCGGCCCGCGUUCGAUUAGCUAGUUGGUGAGGUAAAGGCUCGCCAAGGCUACGAUCUAUAGCUGGUCUGAGAGGAUGAUCAGCCACACUGGGACUGAGACACGGCCCAGGCUCCUACGGGAGGCAGCAGUGGGGAAUCUUGCGCAAUGGGCGAAAGCCUGACGCAGCCAUGCCGCGUGAAUGAUGAAGGUCUUAGGAUUGUAAAAUUCUUUUACCAGGGACGAUAAUGACGGUACCUGGAGAAAAAGCCCCGGCUAACUUCGUGCCAGCCGCCGCCGUAA